ACUUUGGGCAAUGGCCGAAAGGCUGACCCAGCGACGCCGCGUGCGGGAGGACGCCCUUCGGGGUGUAAACCGCUGUCAGAGGGGACGAAUGGCCCAGGCGGGAAUACUGUCUGGGUGUGACGGUACCCUCAGAGGAAGCACCGGCUAACUCUGUGCCAGCAGCCGCGGUAAUACAGAGGGGGCAAGCGUUGUUCGGAAUUACUGGGCGUAAAGGGCGCGUAGGCGGCCUGUUAAGUCGGACGUGAAAUCCCUCGGCUCAACCGGGGAACUGCGUCCGAUACUGGCGGGCUUGAGUUCGGGAGAGGGAUGUGGAAUUCCAGGUGUAGCGGUGAAAUGCGUAGAUAUCUGGAGGAACACCGGUGGCGAAGGCGGCAUCCUGGACCGACACUGACGCUGAGGCGCGAAAGCCAGGGGAGCAAACGGG
This 424-nucleotide ribosomal RNA is filed under the name uncultured bacterium. RNAcentral describes it as "bacterial SSU rRNA". It matches the Rfam family "Bacterial small subunit ribosomal RNA", at positions 361 to 776 of the family's 1533-position model. The record is from RNAcentral.